GUUCACGGUAGCCGAGUAGGUAAGGCGCCUAUAGUCAUUUACUCGGUACCGAAAAUCGAUGGUUCAAUUCCAUCUUGGAGCA
Non-coding RNA from Rhamnusium bicolor, 82 nucleotides. The record is from the annotation of a GenBank genome assembly. Lineage: Eukaryota; Metazoa; Arthropoda; Insecta; Coleoptera; Cerambycidae.